GGGUUAGGUGCCUUCCUUGCUCAAGGGCACAUUCAGUUUUUUCACCUAGUCGGCUCAGAGAUUCAAACCAGCAACCUUUUUGUUUACUUGCCCAAUGCUCUUAACCACUAGACUACCUUCCGCCCAACAACAAAGCAUUCAUUAAUCCAAAUGACAAUGACUCAUGACUCAGUGAUAUUCCACAACUACCAUUUGUCAUUGAUUACUUAUGUCACUUUUCCUCUGCUACUUGUCAAAAUCUUAGAGCCACAUCAGUGGAGCCCGGAAAACAGAAUGACGAACAAUGCCUCACAAGGGGCCUGCAAUUCAACAACACUGAAUCAAGCCAUUUCCAGGAUUUCUAAAGCUGUAGACACCCUGACUAACCAACUGUCCUGUGAGGGAGGGAACAACCAAAGCUUUCCUGAAGAGAAGUUCAGCGUGCUGCAACAAGACCUCAGACAGAUUAUGAAAUUGGCCUUAAAAGUCUUCCUUCAUUUGGGCACCAAUGAAUCAAAGUCUGAGGUCCUGGAUGUCUUUGGAGCUUUGAACAGUCUCAACAGUGAUAACGAUCAAAAUGUGCAAUUCAUCCGCCUGUGGUUCAACGUCCAGCUGGUACCUCUUUUACCCCACAUUACCGGAGACUUCCUGUCCCUGUUGAGCACAAGAGACUUCAGCUGCAGCUCCUAUCAGGCACUGGUCCUGGGAUUGAGUGGUGAACUGGUAUCCAUUAAUGAAGAGCAGAAACAAUUGAUCUACACUCACUUUAUCCGUCUUUUCCUGUUCAGAAAGGGAUCAUCAGAUCCAGAUCCUGGAUGCUUGGGAAAUGUAAAUGAAAGUGCAGACUGGUUGUUGAAAAACUUUGGAAACUUUUCAAGCAUUGCUGAUUUAAAGGAUCUGUAUGAACUAAACCAGCAUUUCUCUGCGCUGGAGGUUUUGAAAAUCCUUUCACCAAACCAGAAAGCUGAAUUGAUACUGGACCCAAGCACUGGCGCUCUGGAGAAUGAGACUCUUGUGAAGAACGUUUUCAUCAGCUUGCUGGAAUCUCCAAGGGAAGAGCAGCUCAAUGAGUUCUUUGUGACUUUUGUUGAAGUCACCAAGCAGGAAAACAUCACUAUCAUCACAAACACAGCUGUAAGAGACACAAUGCUAGACCUGACCUUGAUGGCUCUUGCUCCCAAAUUCGACGUUUUUGAGCCAAAAGACUUCCAGCUGUGGUUCCAAGUCAAUCUGGUUGUUCUGCUGGCCAGCUUCCAUCCUGGCAGAUUGGUUGAUAUCCCUCUAAACAUCACCUGUGAAUCCUACAAUGCCAUAUUUACGGGUCUCAACCAAAGUUUGGAAUCUCUUCCGCCUCACCUCUCACAGGGUGUAAAGUCAAGCUUGGAUGCACUGAUGAAGACAUUCCAACGUUGCUCAAGGCCUCCAGCUUUAAUUGUGUGCAAAGAAACACUGGUCAAUGAGAAACAACUUUGUGCUGGAUUUAACAGAACACAACUGAAGCAACAAAUGUCGAUUGGGAAUUCCAAUGAAUCCCUUUGCAAUUUCAACAUCUCUGAAUAUGCCUGUUCCUCAACAACCCUUCUGUCAGCGGACAACUUGGUGACGAUCCUGAAAUGCCAAUUGUCCAGCAAAAAGACUUACUCAACAGAAAUGUGGAAGCUGUUCUUCCAAAACAAUGCUGCUAUUCUGGAACAGGCUCUUCUGGAUUACUCCAGCAUGGUAUGUUGAAUCCCAGAAUUACAACAAAAUGUUGGCAAUAUGUG
Molecule: long non-coding RNA, 1742 nt
Organism: Oncorhynchus tshawytscha (Chinook salmon)
Lineage: Eukaryota; Metazoa; Chordata; Actinopteri; Salmoniformes; Salmonidae
Source: Ensembl